GAUGAACGCUAGCGGCAGGCUUAACACAUGCAAGUCGAGGGGCAGCGCGGGAUAGCAAUAUCCUGGCGGCGACCGGCGGAAGGGUGCGUAACGCGUGAGCGACAUGCCCGUUGCCCGGGGACAACCGGUGGAAACGCCGACUAAUCCCCGAUGGGAUACGAUGCUUCAUGGCAUUGUAUUGAAAGUUACGGCGGCGACGGAUUGGCUCGCGUCCGAUUAGCUGGUUGGCGGGGUAACGGCCCACCAAGGCUGCGAUCGGUAGGGGGUCUGAGAGGAAGGCCCCCCACAGAGGGACUGAGACACGGCCCAUACUCCGACGGGAGGCAGCAGUGAGGAAGAUUGGUCAAGGGGCGGAAGCCGGAACCAGCCAGGCCGCGUGCGGGAAGGAGGCCCUAUGGGCUGUGAACCGCUUUUGCCUGGGGGCAAUAAGGGCGUCGCGCACGUCCGAUGAGAGUACCAGGCGAAUAAGCAUCGGCUAACUCCGUG
Molecule: ribosomal RNA, 486 nt
Filed under: uncultured bacterium
Lineage: Bacteria
Description: partial 16S ribosomal RNA
Rfam family: Bacterial small subunit ribosomal RNA
Source: RNAcentral